Molecule: ribosomal RNA, 397 nt
Filed under: Gymnophthalmus vanzoi
Lineage: Eukaryota; Metazoa; Chordata; Lepidosauria; Squamata; Gymnophthalmidae
Description: partial large subunit ribosomal RNA
Rfam family: Bacterial small subunit ribosomal RNA
Source: RNAcentral
CCCCACUAUGCCCGGACGUAAACUUAGACACCUGUCCGCCAGAAAAUUACGGGCGAAAGCCUAAAACUCAAAAGACUUGACGGUGUCCUAAUCUACCUAGAGGAGCCUGUUCCAUAAUCGAUAACCCCCGAUAAACCCGACCUCCCUUUGAAAUACCAGCCUAUAUACCGCCGUCAACAGCCCACCUUUCAAAAGAACUAAAGUAGGCCAAAUAGAAAACUCUCUAAAAAGUCAGGUCAAGGUGUAGCUAAUAGGGUGGAGACAAUGGGCUACAUUUUUUAAAAUAACAUACCACGGACCAGUAUUUUGAAACUAAAACUAUAAAGGUGGAUUUAGCAGUAAGCUAAAAAAGAAUGCUUAGCUUAACAUAGCCCUAGGACACGUACACACCGCCCGU